RNAcentral lists this ribosomal RNA (301 nucleotides) under uncultured bacterium. Its description in RNAcentral is "partial 16S ribosomal RNA". It matches the Rfam family "Bacterial small subunit ribosomal RNA", at positions 509 to 807 of the family's 1533-position model. The record is from RNAcentral.
CAGUCGCCGCGGUAACACGGAGGGUGCAAGCGUUAAUCGGAAUUACUGGGCGUAAAGCGUGCGUAGGCGGUUCGUUAAGUCUGUUGUGAAAGCCCCGGGCUCAACCUGGGAAUGGCAAUGGAUACUGGCGAGCUAGAGUGUGUCAGAGGAUGGUGGAAUUCCCGGCGUAGCGGUGAAAUGCGUAGAGAUCGGGAGGAACAUCAGUGGCGAAGGUGGCCAUCUGGGACAACACUGACGCUGAGGCACGAAAGCGCGGGGAGCAAACAGGAUUAGAUACCCGAGUAGUCCCUGUCUCUUAUAC